UUGUAGAGAUACGAGGGUGCCUUCGGGAACUGUGAGACAGGUGCUGCAUGGCUGUCGUCAGCUCGUGUUGUGAAAUGUUGGGUUAAGUCCCGCAACGAGCGCAACCCUUAUCCUUUGUUGCCAGCGGUCCGGCCGGGAACUCAAAGGAGACUGCCAGUGAUAAACUGGAGGAAGGUGGGGAUGACGUCAAGUCAUCAUGGCCCUUACGACCAGGGCUACACACGUGCUACAAUGGCGCAUACAAAGAGAAGCGACCUCGCGAGAGCAAGCGGACCUCAUAAAGUGCGUCGUAGUCCGGAUUGGAGUCUGCAACUCGACUCCAUGAAGUCGGAAUCGCUAGUAAUCGUGGAUCAGAAUGCCACGGUGAAUACGUUCCCGGGCCUUGUACACACCGCCCGUCACACCAUGGGAGUGGGUUGCAAAA
RNAcentral lists this ribosomal RNA (424 nucleotides) under Escherichia coli. RNAcentral describes it as "bacterial SSU rRNA". It matches the Rfam family "Bacterial small subunit ribosomal RNA", at positions 998 to 1422 of the family's 1533-position model. The record is from RNAcentral. Lineage: Bacteria; Pseudomonadati; Pseudomonadota; Gammaproteobacteria; Enterobacterales; Enterobacteriaceae.